GCGUCGGUGGUUUAGUGAUAGAAUGCUCUCCUCCCAAAUGAGUGGCCUGGAUUUGACUCCCGGUCGAUGCA
This is a non-coding RNA of Nephila pilipes (giant wood spider), 71 nucleotides long. The record is from the annotation of a GenBank genome assembly. Lineage: Eukaryota; Metazoa; Arthropoda; Arachnida; Araneae; Nephilidae.